CUUUUUUUUUUUUUAGUUUGAUCAGGGAAAAAAUUUUAUUCCUAAUCUGGCUGCAGGAAGACCAUUAGUAAAAUCUAGAUCUCAGCUGAUGAACUUGAAGAAUGAAGUGUUUGUUGAAGUUAUUGA
Parasteatoda tepidariorum (common house spider) is the source of this 126-nucleotide non-coding RNA. Lineage: Eukaryota; Metazoa; Arthropoda; Arachnida; Araneae; Theridiidae. The record is from RefSeq and is a predicted model, not a curated record.